This is a small nuclear RNA of Pteronotus mesoamericanus, 194 nucleotides long. RefSeq annotates it as U2 spliceosomal RNA. Lineage: Eukaryota; Metazoa; Chordata; Mammalia; Chiroptera; Mormoopidae. The transcript has a single exon. The record is from RefSeq and is a predicted model, not a curated record.
AUUGCAUCUUGGCCUUUUGGCUAAGACUAAAUGUGGUACCUGUUCUUAUUAAUCAGUUUAACAUCUGAUAAUGUCCUCUAUCCGAGAACAAAACAUCUGUGGAACUUUGGAGCAGGGAGAUGGAAAUGGGGUUUGCUCUGUUCACACUGCACAUAGACCCAGUAUAGCUGCCUUCCGGGAACAGUGCAUACCCU